AGUGAACGCUGGCGGUAGGCCUAACACAUGCAAGUCGAACGGCAGCACAGUAAGAGCUUGCUCUUACGGGUGGCGAGUGGCGGACGGGUGAGGAAUACAUCGGAAUCUACUUUUUCGUGGGGGAUAACGUAGGGAAACUUACGCUAAUACCGCAUACGACCUACGGGUGAAAGCAGGGGAUCUUCGGACCUUGCGCGAUUGAAUGAGCCGAUGUCGGAUUAGCUAGUUGGCGGGGUAAAGGCCCACCAAGGCGACGAUCCGUAGCUGGUCUGAGAGGAUGAUCAGCCACACUGGAACUGGGACACGGUCCAGACUCCUAAGGGAGGCAGCAGUGGGGAAUAUUGGACAAUGGGCGCAAGCCUGAUCCAGCCAUACCGCGUGGGUGAAGAAGGCCUUCGGGUUGUAAAGCCCUUUUGUUGGGAAAGAAAAGCAGCAGGUUAAUACCCCGCUGUUCUGACGGUACCCAAAGAAUAAGCACCGGCUAACUUCGUG
This 492-nucleotide ribosomal RNA is filed under the name uncultured bacterium. RNAcentral's name for it is "partial 16S ribosomal RNA". It matches the Rfam family "Bacterial small subunit ribosomal RNA", at positions 29 to 507 of the family's 1533-position model. The record is from RNAcentral.